CCUUCAUGAAGCCGGAAUUGCUAGUAAUGGCAGGUCAGCAUACUGCCGUGAAUACGUUCCCGGGCCUUGUACACACCGCCCGUCACACCAUGAGAGUUGGAAAUACCCGAAGCCUGUGAGCUAACCUUUAGGAGGCAGCAGUCGAAGGUAGAGCCAAUGAUUGGGGUGAAGUCGUAACAAGGUAGC
RNAcentral lists this ribosomal RNA (186 nucleotides) under uncultured bacterium. RNAcentral's name for it is "partial 16S ribosomal RNA". It matches the Rfam family "Bacterial small subunit ribosomal RNA", at positions 1315 to 1500 of the family's 1533-position model. The record is from RNAcentral.